Long non-coding RNA from Contarinia nasturtii (swede midge), 374 nucleotides. RefSeq lists it as uncharacterized. The record is from RefSeq and is a predicted model, not a curated record. The transcript is spliced from 2 exons. Lineage: Eukaryota; Metazoa; Arthropoda; Insecta; Diptera; Cecidomyiidae.
AAAAUAUUUCAAAUAUUUCAAAUGAUUCAAACCAAAUUUUUCUAUCAUCAAUACUAUUAAUUUUUGGUUUGAUAACUUCAAUAAUUAAAAACUAACCUGGUAAGAUAUGUCGAAAGAUAAUGAGUCUUAUAACAACAUUUCAUGUCAAUGUUACAUGUUACUAAUCGUGAUAGGAAUUUACAUAAUAAUGACAGAUCACAUCGUAUGAAGAUAGAACAAUGAUAUAAUGUAGUGCUACGCUUGGUUGCAUCAAUUUCGAAAAAAAAAAAAAUAAAUUCAAACAAAUGUUGUCGAUGAAAACACGUGUGUUUCCAUAAAAUGUACUUUAAAAUAAAACAGAAAUAAAGAAACUCAAUAUUCUUGAACCCUCUGAA